RNAcentral lists this ribosomal RNA (462 nucleotides) under uncultured bacterium. RNAcentral's name for it is "partial 16S ribosomal RNA". It matches the Rfam family "Bacterial small subunit ribosomal RNA", at positions 29 to 507 of the family's 1533-position model. The record is from RNAcentral.
AGUGAACGCUGGCGGCGUGCCUAAUACAUGCAAGUCGAACGGAGAUUCAGUAGCUUGCUAUUUAAUCUUAGUGGCGCACGGGUGAGUAAUAUAUAGCUAACUUGCCCAUUACUAAGGGACAACAGUUGGAAACGACUGCUAAUACCUUAUACUCCGUAUCUAUAUAAGUAGAUACGGGAAAGUUUUUCGGUAAUGGAUAGGGCUAUAUCGUAUCAGCUAGUUGGUAAGGUAAUGGCUUACCAAGGCUAUGACGCGUAACUGGUCUGAGAGGAUGAUCAGUCAAACUGGAACUGAGACACGGUCCAGACUCCUACGGGAGGCAGCAGUAGGGAAUAUUGCUCAAUGGGGGAAACCCUGAAGCAGCAACGCCGCGUGGAGGAUGACACUUUUCGGAGCGUAAACUCCUUUUCUUGGGAAAGAAUUAUGACGGUACCCAAGGAAUAAGCACCGGCUAACUCCGUG